CUCAUUAAAUCAGCUAUGAUUUCUUAGAUCUUACAUCCCUUACUUGGAUAACUGAAGUAAUUCUUGAGCUAAUACAUGCCAACAAAUGUUUCGGCUUUCGGGUCGGAAUGGACUUAUUAGUACAAAAUCAACCUGGUUUCGGCCAGUUGUUUUGUUGACUCAGGAUAAUUCUUCUGAUCGCACGGUCUCGUACCAGCGACGUAUCUUUCAAGUGUCUGCCCUAUCAACUUUCGAUGGUGGGUUAUAUGCCUACCAUGGUUAUUACGGGUGACGGGGAAUCAGGGUUCGAUUCCGGAGAGGGAGCCUGAGAAAUGGCUGCUACAUCUAAGGAUGGCAGCAGGCGCGCAACUUACCCACUGCUAGUGGCAGCGAGGUAGUGACGAUAAAUAACAAUACAGAACUCUUUUGAGGCUCUGUCAUUGGAAUGAGAACAAUUUAAAUCCUUUAACGAGGAUCAAUUGGAGGGCAAGUCUGGUGCCAGCAGCCGCGGUAAUUCCAGCUCCAAUAGCAUAUAUUAAAAUUGUUGCAGUUAAAAAGCUCGUAGUUGGAUCUCAGGUUGGUGUCGGCCAGUGCCUGCUUUGUAGGUUUCGGGCCGUCCCACCUUAUUAGCUGUAUGCGUCUAUCAGUGCUCUUUACUGAGUGCUGGUAGUGCUCAGCAUGUUUACUUUGAACAAAUUAGAGUGCUCAAAGCAGGCUUUUAUGCCGGAAUAAUUUUGCAUGGAAUAAUGGAAUAAGGCUCUGCCGCUAUUUUGUUGAUUUUCAGUAUUAAUGCAGAGUAAUGAUUAAAAGGAGCAGAACGGGGGCAAAAGUAUGGUCGCGAUAGAGGUGAAAUUCUUGGACCGUGGCCAGACUAACUACUGCGAAAGCAUUUGCCAAGGAUGCCUUCAUUAAUCAAGAACGAAAGUCAGAGGAUCGAAGACGAUCAGAUACCGUCCUAGUUCUGACUAUAAACUAUGCCAACAGGCCAUCGGGGCAUUUAUUAUGAUGUCCCGGCAGCCCCCAGGGAAACCUAGUGAGGUUCUGGGGGGAAUAUGGUCGCAAGUCUGAAACUUAAAGGAAUUGACGGAAGGGCACCACCAGGAGUGGAGCCUGCGGCUUAAUUUGACUCAACACGGGAAAACUCACCCGGCCCGGACACUGUCAGGAUUGACAGAUUGAUAGCUCUUUCAUGAUUCGGUGGAUGGUGGUGCAUGGCCGUUCUUAGUUGGUGGAGUGAUUUGUCUGGUUAAUUCCGAUAACGAACGAGACUCUAGCCUGCUAAAUAGUGCAGAUAUAUCCUGUUCUCUUCGGAGUCUGGAUUGUGCUUGAUCACUUCUUAGAGGGAUUGGUGGCAUUUAGUCACAUGAAAUUGAGCAAUAACAGGUCUGUGAUGCCCUUAGAUGUCCGGGGCCGCACGCGCGCUACAAUGAUAGUGGCAAAAAGUCUCUGAGCCGAAAGGCUUGGGUAAUCUUUUAAACACUAUCUCGUCAGGGAUCAGGGUUUGUAAUUAUCCCCUGUGAACGAGGAAUUCCUAGUAAGCGCAAGUCAUCAACUUGUGCUGAUUAUGUCCCUGCCCUUUGUACACACCGCCCGUCGCUACUACCGAUUGAAUGGUUUAGUGAGGUUAUUGGACCGGGAUCACGGAGCUGCUUGCAGUUCAGGUGUUACUGGGAAGAGAAUCGAACUUGAUCAUUUAGAGGAAGUAAAAGUCGUAACAAGGUUUUCGUAGGUGAACCUGCAG
RNAcentral lists this ribosomal RNA (1720 nucleotides) under Bresslauilla relicta. RNAcentral's name for it is "SSU rRNA". It matches the Rfam family "Eukaryotic small subunit ribosomal RNA". Lineage: Eukaryota; Metazoa; Platyhelminthes; Rhabdocoela; Graffillidae. The record is from RNAcentral.